Molecule: unclassified non-coding RNA, 333 nt
Filed under: Hevea brasiliensis (rubber tree)
Lineage: Eukaryota; Viridiplantae; Streptophyta; Magnoliopsida; Malpighiales; Euphorbiaceae
Source: RNAcentral
GGAAUAAUUCAUAAUCAUCUUCUUGAAAUUGACAUGGGAUAAUUUAGAAAUGUGAUAGCAGGUUCUAAUUCCAAUGCAUCAACCAUGUGAAUCUUCAUGACACAUUAAUAUUCAAAUUAUAACUUCCCAACAAUUACCAAUAUAAUGAUAAGCCCAUAAAUUUUAAUAGAUAAUUACAUAAGUUUGAAAAUCAUCAAAUUCACCACAAAUUUUCCAAAACCAUGGUAGUUAUCAUCAAAUGAGCAAAUGCAUUGCAAAGGAAUGGCAGGUCCAACCUUGUCACAUAUUCAACACUUGGAUCAGUAUUGAUAAAAUAUAAAUAAAUUUAAAAAA